Molecule: long non-coding RNA, 7273 nt
Organism: Falco peregrinus (peregrine falcon)
Lineage: Eukaryota; Metazoa; Chordata; Aves; Falconiformes; Falconidae
Exons: 3
Source: RefSeq, a predicted model, not a curated record
AUCACCUGGAAACUUUUUUGUUUCUUUCUUUCCCUGCUAAGCCCAGCAUAGAAAUAAAAGUAAUAAAGGAGACAACAGGCUUGGUGUUGAUUCCUCACCUGUUUGUAGGGCUGAAUGAAAACUCACAUCAGCAGGGGAAAGGCUGAGCUAUCCCCUGCACGCCAGGAAGGCAGCUGGUUUGGGAUGGACUCUGGUCCAACACCACAAAGCAGGCAUCUGCUAAAGGGAUUGGUGGUCUCUAGUUUUCUUGAGGAUUUGUAAGAACGUGAGUUAACUUCUAAAGGCCUGUUAGCAGAGCUGACCAGCCACACAAUUCUUCUCCCAGUGUCUGGCAUUUACAGCUUCCUACAUUGGUGCCAGGCCUCUUGUUAGUGAUGAUGUACGAACCAAAACAAAACGCGUGCUCUUUCCAUUAGCUGGAAACACACACAUCUCUCCCUCCUGCAACACAGAUUCCAAAACAUCAGCUUAUCAGUGUUAUUUAACUACAGCACAGCUCACUGUCACUUAAAAGAACUAUUCCAAUAUCCUCCUCCAGCACGGAAGGGCUCUGAUGGCCACCUAGAAGGGAUAAAAAGCCAGUAGGCCCAUUGAGAUGAGCUCACAAGAGUGGCAAAGGAGGAAGAAAAAAAACCCACCACUGGAAAGAUGAGCUUCAGAACUGCAUUGCUUUUUGAAAGAGACCUUUCAAGUAUCACUUCCUCUGUGGAGAGGAAGCGAGAGGAGCUGGAGGUUCUCCGAUACAGCUUCCCCUCCAGGACGAUAUAAAAGGAUGAGUGUUUUUAAAAAGAAAAAAAACCACCACACACCCAGAAAAAAGGAAAGCAGGCCAGCCCUGAGCACGCUGUGACCAAAUUAGGAAACAAACUCUACUGACAGCCUUCAAAACGGCCAUCGUCUGCAACAGCCUUGUGUUAGCUCAGGAAGUCUGAUGACUGUGUCAUCUGCCGAAAUCUGUUUAUGUGCAAACAGAAAGGAGAAGCAAAGCACCUCCUCGCACUGCACAUGCCAGGUUAGGCCAUCUCAGCGGAGACAGUCACCAGCUGCCCUGACACAAUGCUAUUGCAAACCUCCAGCGCUGACUCACCCCCCUCCAAAGGCAGCUCUGCCCUGGGAGUGCUCAGCUGAAAUGGAAGAAGACCUCUCCUCCCCUUCUCCUUCCAGGGGACCUAGGAGGAAAAGGCAAAGCUGACAGCUCAUCUCAGCCCCUGCUCCACCCUCAGCACAACUACAGCCUGCAGGGUCCUUCCAGCCCCAGCAGUUUGGCUACAGGACCACUCCGGUAACUUGCCACAUUCAAGGCAGCUGAGGACCUUCCACACCUCAGCACCACGUGCCCAGGGGUGCUCUUCUCCAACCCCUCAUGGAACCCAUCAGCUUAUCUCCAAAGCCACCGGCAGCAGUGACCACCACAGGCUCAUAGCUGCUCUCAGUGGCUCCUUCACCUAAAUGGUUGCAGGCUGUGCCCAGGGAGAGAAGGCGAGACAAGACUGCUGAGGCUGAACUUUCCGUCUCCACAUAAAGUUGUGUUCAGCUUAUUACCUCUAGACCUUUCCUCGGCAAAGGACAAAGCUACGAAGGAAAGAGAGCAUUGCUACCUCUUACGGACCUGACAAAGAGGUAUUCACCGGUCAGUAAACAGCGGGAGAAUUGCCUUUUCACUGAAUGGAUAUUGCUAUAUAAGGCAGAAAGCAAGCACAGGAGUAAGCUUUGUUGCUUGAAAUUGCACUGACUUACACAGUCUAUUUUAAAAGGGACUAGUUUGAGCUCUUGCUUUCAGCAACUUGCUUUUUUUUUUUUUAAUUCUCUAAGAGACAGAUACCCCAUUUAAACUGACCUCUUUCCUCAGGUCCAUUUCCAGGCUGGGCUUCACCCCCUCCUCCUCUGUCAGACUCAUUUAUCAAGUGAAGCAUUUCCACAUACCACUGCAUAAAUAGACUUGACCUUGUAAAAGCAGCAGCACCUGAGCUCCCACUAAUGGAGUCUCUCCACCCCAGCAUAGCAAUUAACCCAGCCCACUCCUACCCUCUUUCCAGGACUCAGCCGUAAGAUCUACUGAGGUUAUCUGCCGCCUACAAUCACCUCAACCCCACCUUCGGCCUUGGUCCCUCCCUUGUGCCCAUCCCUUCGAGAACAGAUAGGGAAAUCGCUGGCACUCCUGCUGCAGCACCGCCGGCGCUGCUGUUGAUAGCAUCGCCACUCGCCCUGCCUGCGGCACACAGCACCGCGCUGCAGAAGAGUUUCAAUGUCCUUUUAUGGAAGAAAAAUGAAAAUCGCCUGCCCAGCCAUGGAGGGCCUCAGAGCCGAGAUGACAGACGGAAACUUGCCAUUUGUUGUGGUUUUGGCAGUAAUAAAGCGGAGCGUGUUCCCAUGCGCACCGCUCAUUUAAAAAGGGUGCAGUGAAGGCACUGAGCUGGAGUAGAAAGCUGACAGCUCCAGAGCAGGAGGUUGUGGGGAUGCAGUGCUGAGGAGGAAGAUGGCAGAGUCAUGAAAAGAGGGCUUAGACCAUUCUGCUGGCCUGGACAAGCGGGAGACAGGCCUCUGGAUGAAAGUAGGCAUGGGUGUUCCAUUCCCCCCCCCCCCCCCCCCAGUAAGACACAUAGCCAGGUCCUCCACAUAGCAUUUCCCUUCAUUCCUCAUCCCAACAAAUUUUGCUAAACUGCAUUCACACAGACAUAGGAGGAUGGGAAGUCAAAUGCAGGAAUUGGGCCUCGAGGUCAUUGCCACCAGAAAGUGACAGGGGUCUGCCAUAGGGGAGUGCUACCUUCGGCUCUGCUCUCCGCUAAAGCUGUUACUUAGAGCUUAGUCCCACAAUCAAAUCGAAAUGAACAGGCUCAAGGAAAAGCAUACAGAGAACAGCAAUAAGAACGGCCAAACAGAGAAUGAGACAGGGUCACGGGACCUGCAAAAUGUUUGCGCUGCUGUCAGGAAGCUAGAUGAGACAGCAGACUUCAACAGCUGGGAAAACAUGUUGCAAAACAAGGAGAAUUAAGUAAUUCUCCAUACACACAUCCUAUUCCGAGGCAUUUUGGACAAGCUCAAUUUCUCCAAUGAGAACAAUUUUAUCCCCCCCCCCCCCCCCCCCCCCCCCCCCCCGUUGCACAUGCACCCUGCUAGUGACAAAUCUUGAUAUAGUUUAAGCCUAAAACCACAGCACAUCUGGAAUCAGGCAGGGCGGCUCCGGGCAGCAAUGGGCCAGCCUCUAGCACAGAAGUAAUGGGCCCUGUGGUAUGUGUUGGAUGACAUCCCUGCAAGGCUAUGUCAUCCUGAACACAUCCCCUGCUGCUGGGUACUUGGUUACACAAACGUUUCCCCUUGCAUCCUAUAAAACGGUUGUAACUGGAUCAUAGGUGGCUGGGGCUGCUUCGUUACCCGCCUCUGAAUGCCCCAUUACCACACCAGGUACACAGAUCACAGGCACUGCAGCAUGCCCCUUAGCUCCUUCUGUAGCUUUAAGUCUCGUUAAUCACGCAACAAUUUCUUUCAAAGCCACUCAUGUCCAAGUUACUGCAAACUGUACAACGUGACUUCGGCUUAUUAACACGGGUUGUGGACGCAGUGCUGGCACCCUGCUAAGAGAAGCCAUGUUCAGACACAGCUGGCUAGGGUGAGCUCUGUCCAAGCUUAAAAGCAGGUUAAGGUGAAGGUUAGAAGCAGCUGGGUGUACCUGUUUCUAGCCAGCACCCUGAAAUCAAUCCUGAGACAUUCCAGCAGCUUAAAAAGAAGUCCCCUAAAAUACCAAGUCUUAGUCCUGCAAAUUAAAAGUACAUGGAAGGAUUGCUGCGGCCAGAGAGCCUAACCUGAAGACUAAAAAGUAAAAGAAUGGGGGUUUUAUCCAUCUGACACAGGCACACCAGUGCUCACUUUUCCAGUGUGGCAGUUCAGAUGCCCAGCAGGCAAACCCAGUCCCAGCCCAUUAACAGGAUGCACUAAUGAGCCAAGAACAAGAGUGACAACUGCCCGGUCUGAGGACAAUGCAAUUUAGCAUCACGCAGCCAUACGCCAUCACCUCUUCACAUCCAGCCAGCACCGAUGCAGACACUGACUCUGUGCAAUAAAGUAACAAAACCCCUCUGCUAUGCAAAGGGGUUUUAAAGGAAAGUCUUGGAAAAUGCAAGUCCCUGCAAUGUGGCCUGGCUAUGAAAUGAGCGUCGAGGGCUUUGAGCUCUCCGGCACGGAGGGACAGUGCUGCUCUGUGCAUGCCUUAUUUCCAUGGCAACAGCUGCUUUCACCUCCCCAUCUCUUCGCUGGCUGAAAGCCCUGCAGUGCUUUGUGCUGAGACUGCAAAGAGGGGAAACUAUCUCCUUCACCCGCAACACGGCACCAGGGAUAGCAGCAAGCAGCCCAGGAACAAAAGCCUUGUCUUCACCAACAAUACAGGGUCUGGGGAGGAGGGAGGCUGAGCAGAAAGGACAGACUUCCUUUUCUGGUGGCAAACAGCACUUCCCUCAACAUGACAAAGUACACGCUCACUCCCAGUGCUGCACAAGUCAACAAGCAACACGUGCCUUUCCUAGUUUUACCAGAAUUGCCAGCUUUGGUUUGCUGUCAGAGCACUGGGAGGAGAAACUCACAUCAUUAAGAGACGAGAAAUUUGAGUGCUGCUUCCGUGCAGGGAUCCCUCCGCAGAGUAAGAUGGAGGUUGACCAAGCAUGCUGGCAAACCCUCCUGUCACCAGCAAGCUGGCUCCACACGUAGUCAGCAACCUGUUAGAGAGCAAAACCUCAAAACUCAGCCAGGUCUGAGUGAAAGCUGCCUCUCCCCCAGCACCAGCUCAGACUGCACACACACACGAGAACACAUCCAUAGGGUGGCUUGGGCAACACUUUUCCUUGGUUAAUUAAGCUUCUCCACCACCCUGCAGUCUGUGAUAUUAAGAUUCAGGCCCUGGCCACCUAACUAGGAGCCAAACGUCACGCCACAUAGCUGGAGCCACAGUGGCCCUGGCAGAUGGUGCAGGCUCAUCUGCAUGCUCUCCGUGCAGCUGUUCAGUCACAGAAGGCGACUGGCAGCUCUGCCUGUUGCUCAGGUUACAAUUAGCCACAUUUUGGUUCCUGCAAGGUGCAAAUGACUGGAACUACAGGUGAGAUACAUAAACAGUGACCUGGGUACGUCUAGAGCUCUUACUGAGCUCAGCACACGUAUAUACAGCCAAAAUGAAGGCUCCUAGCUAGUUCCCAUCACUUAGUUUACAACACAUCCAUAGCUGGCCCAAAUACAAAUGAACCUCUCUGCAAGAUUUAAAGGAAAGCCUAAGAGUAUCAAGAUGAACUCUCAAAGCAAGAGAAGGAUCCAGGUGGUGGAGCACAGAAAUACAACGGGUCCACCAUCUGGUCCUCCUCUCCCCACCCUUGACAAGCCUUGAGGUUUCAGGAGAGGCACAUUUUGACCUUUCGCUUUCCACACUUCCCCUUGUUUUAGGUUCAGCUGUGUAAGUGCAGUCCUUCCAACCCGAGAGGGACUCCUUCCAGGAUCAGUCAUCACCACUGCCGAGUCUGCCAGAGGCGCUGCUACCAAAGCCAGCGCAUCCUCUCCAACCACCGUAGAGUUCCCUAGAUUAGCCCUUUCCUCCCUAAGGGCAACAGUUUCCUGCAAGCAAGAGCAUUAACUGGAAUUCUUCAUUCUGGAGAAAGACAAGAUAGCAGGAAUAUGAAGAACCACUGCAGCUGAUGCUGUGAGACAACACCACAUCCUGCUAUCUGAAUUCCUCACUCUCAACUUCAAAUCCCAAAGUCAUUCAAGACUUCUAAGAAGAGCACAAAGCUACUCAGCAGAUUUUCAGCUAAUGAAUCAACACAAGCUGUCCAGGAAACCAGAAAUCCAGCCCACUGGAAUGCUGUAACCCCAGGGAGGGGGGUACAGGCAGUACACUAGGAAGGAAAUGAAACAGCAAACCAGAAGGAAAGGAACGUUUCAGCACUGACCCCUCUUACCCCAGUUACUGUGCUGCAUUACACAUUUUAAGAAAAAAUGAUACUUCAACUCAUUUUGCACAUUGAAGCGUUCAUGUUCUUCAAGCCUGAAUUUUGUUCCGUGGUGCCGACAUAUGUAUGUUUUGAAUACAACUCAGCUUUUGCAAAAACAGCAAGAAAAAAAUUUUCAUUUAAACGUGAAUCAACAUUGCCACCUAGUGACUAGCAAACCUCCUCCUCGUGACACUUGGGCAAUCCAUUGGAAUUGUAUUUCCUUCCCAAAUGCUAGCAGUAGAUGUUAGCAAAAUAUAUCUGGAAAUUAAGAGAUCAAAAAUGGAAUUGUGCAUCUUUCAUAAGCAGCUUUCCCCGCCCCAAGUUCAAUUUUCACUACAGAAUGCCAAGUUCACUGCUGGCAACUUCAACUUCUCUAGAAAGGAGUUUUACUUUCUAUUAAUUUCUCAAUACAGACAAAUGAUGGCAACGCAUCACUACGAGAACCCAAAGCUAUGGCAGCUAUAAGCAUAAGGCUAAUGCACUCAAAAGGAAUUUCAGUGAUGAGCAGAAAUCUCUGCUGGGGGACAGGCGGUUCCCUCAAUGUUGCACGAGAAUUCAUUGUUGUGGCUAAAGUUACACAAGACACUUUGCAGCACUGAUACUGUACUGCCUUGGCUCACUGGCACCAUAUGUGAGCAGGGUUCUCCAUACAUCCAGGAGACUGGGAAACACAUUUUUGUGCUUGUAUUUUUCCUCAGAACAGAUGGUGCACAAGCAGCAAGUUUUCCCCGCUCCAUCCCCCCCACUGGACCUGACGAUUCUCCCAUUACGGCCAUCAAUAGAUUUUAAGCACCACAAAGAUCUUCUGCCCUUUGAACAACUCACAUUCCAGUGAGCUCUUCCAAGGUUUUUUGUCACUUCCAACUGAAUCUGUAUUCAGGCCACAGCAAAAAAGAAAAAUGCAGAUGCUAAUUCUCUUAAGGAUAGUGCAUCAGGUUGUUUCAGCUCAUUCUCCAGAAGUUUCAUUAGAUAAAGGAUUACAACUUUGUUUUAUGCCUUUUAAACAUGCAGCUCCCUGUUCACCUACAACAUUUCUGUAUAUGCAAGACAGCAGCCUAUGGCAUCCAUAAGCUUUUUUAGCCAACAUCUUCCAAGGAAAGGAAGGAAUGCUGCUGUCUUUAUCGAGUGCCCUGAAAUUCAUCUGUCCAACCACAGGCUUUUAUAGAACAUCGGUAGGAUCCAGCAAAUAAUUUGACUGCUGCCCCAUGCAGCCACGUUAGAUAUUCAUUCACCUGCUACUCAGAAGUAUGAGCUGUCCUCCCAGCUCUCCUGCCCAACACUCCAGGAGAGACCAAAUGGCAAGUAUC